This is a long non-coding RNA of Photinus pyralis (common eastern firefly), 3264 nucleotides long. RefSeq lists it as uncharacterized. The record is from RefSeq and is a predicted model, not a curated record. NCBI's taxonomy places the organism in Eukaryota, Metazoa, Arthropoda, Insecta, Coleoptera, Lampyridae. The transcript has 7 exons.
AGGAGCGGUGCCAGUGCGAAGGAGCACUUACGAGUAUUUACUUUGAAUUUUGCAAGUAUAAGCAUUUGCUUACUUUUAUUCAUACGGCCCAUUGUCUCAAUUAGGGAUGUAACGGAAGUGGUUAUAUCGGAACGGAAUUCCGAAGCGGAAUUUUUAAAUUUGGUUUAUCGGAAUCGGAACCGUAAUCUCAGGCAAAAGAAACAUGCCAGAUUUUGAACAGUCCUAAUAUGUAAAUAAAUCAAACCAAGUUACUCGAAAAUUAAGAAGCUAAUUAUAUUUAAUAAACAAAAUAACAAGUGAAACGGUAAUCAACGCAAAGCGUGGGGUAAGAGAGGUUCCUCGCGACAAGUAUAAAUGUGUUUCUACGUGAACACACUGAUUGUGGCUGCACCGCCAACGCCAUAAACCGCCCAUAUACAUUCAAUUAAAAUUUGUCGGAAUCGAAAGUGCAAAAUCAGUCGGAAGUUCCGCUCUUUCAGAAUCGGAAUCGAACCUCCGUUACAUCCCUAGUCUCACUACCUAAUCUUUGCCAUGGAUUUUAAACUACGUUUAAGCUAACUCCGCUUAAAUUUAUCGAUACAAACGGCCAUUAACCAGACUGGUCGAGUAAUAAAUACAUUUGUUUCUGAAGUAAUUUUCACCAGCCUGUUGAAUUAUCGUAAAGCCCCAAUGUUUUAGUAUAGCAUGUAUUCUUUAAGGCAGAUUCACAUUAUCGGUCAGGUUACGGUCAGAAGAUGUUCAUAAGGAACACAGGGUACAAUAAUUCACAGCACAGACCUGUGACCGAUAAAAUGUAUCAGCCUUAAUAUGGGUCCCAAGGGUAAUCAUCGUAAUUAAUGAUGAUAGGCAUUCCAUGCACCACUCAUAGAGAAAUCAAUGCUGAGGAUUUGCCAAAUUGCUGACAAGGAAUACAUUCAGUAGAAGAAGCAAUUGUGGACCAUGGACAACAUCUUUUUUUUUAUUAAGGCAUGGUUGAGCGCAGGGAAGAAGUUUAUUAGUCAAAAGUAACCUAACAGGUAGAUGAGGACACAUAACCUGUAACUUCUCUAUUGUGUAGGAGAACACAAUGAGCUACCAAAAAAUUAAUUAAGAGAGAAAUAACGUUCAGGUUCAUUACGAUGCGCGGUCAAUAAAACUGCCAGCAUUCGGAUACUGGCAUUUAAAUGCAGUUUAAUUUGGAAAUAACGACCCUUGGCCAACAACUUUGUUAAUCAAGUGCAUUGUUCGGAUCUAAUUGGGGUUUAGCAUGACUAUUUUAUGAGGAUAAUUGGACAUUUCUAUGAACAAAGUAAGCAGUACAACUAAUGCUGGAAGGACUGAAAAAUCCUUAAGCAUUGGCAGUGACUAUAUUUACUGGAAUGUCCUGACAACCAAGUCAAAUUAAAGACCAGCAUUGGCAGUGGCCCAUGGAGUUCCAGAUCAUACAGUAGGACCGGAAUAUUGGUGUUUUAUCGUCGAUGUACUAGUGGAGUUUAACAAACUAAAUUUUACACAAUCAAAAGUGAAAUAUGGCAAAUUAUACUCUACAUUGUCAUAAUGUAUGUGUAAAUUUUAUAUGAUGGCCAAGUCCCAUUAGGUUUUUUGUUUAUUUGCUCACAAGCAGUGGCGGCGCGUAGUGGUGUGUCUUGGGGGUGCACAAUUUUUAAAAAAGGGGAAAAAUGAGGCAACGGGUAAAACGCCGGAGGCGAAAAUUUUUUGAGUGCCACCGCAACACGAAGUUUUUUGGGCCUAUUAAAUGGCAUAAAAAGCUUAUUGAUGAGACCUCUAAAUACUCCAGGGUUUAUUGAAUUUUCUCGUUUUGUCAAUGGAUGCGGAGAGCAAGUUCCAAAGUACCACAAAAUUUUAUACGGUCUAUAAUUUUGGAUAAAACAUACCUGUUCUUUUUUACUUCCUCAUUACGUUUUUCGAUACUCAAAACGGUAUGCACUAUUUAACUGUUGCCGUAUAUCUUACUUACCUAAUAAAUUAAAUCUCAAUUUAGCAGAUAUAUGAUGUGCCUUUGAAGAUUGAUAUUUUUUAUUUUUUCGGAUAAAUGCACUAAGUCUGUAACGCCAUUCUUUGUCCAUUCUGAUGCCUCAUCACCGAGCUCAUAACCAAACAACAAACACGGAAAACAAUAGACUAUUGUUAAAAGGUACAACCGCAUAACCAGUCAGUUUUUCAUACAUGUCUAUUUUAAACGAUCGUUUAUAAUCCCGACUUCCUUUAUUGAUUUUCGGUAUUUCCAAACUCGGUUUUGGGCGACCCGCAUAUUUUAUUUUAAUUCUCUAAUUCUUCUAAUUUUAGUAAACGAAAUUUAAUAAUUGUCUUUAAAUAAUGAACGGUAACUUCGCAACGUUACAUUUAAAACCGAAACGAUCAACAAGCCCUACUUCGUAGUCCGGCGAAUAUUGGUUCAUAAUGAGAGUGUGCUCUUGCUAUACUUUACAACUUUGACUUCGCGGGGCGCACGGGGAAAGGCGAUGUAGCGAUUGAACGAGUCAGAGAUUGUAGCUAAUUGUGCACUGCACGGGAAGGCGGAAUGGGAAUAAUUCUUAAUACACGUUCAGCGGUGUGUCAGUGUACCUUACCCGUUAGGUUUUGCAUUUCAGAUAAGAUAAGUGAACUAUUUUUAUUGCGAGAUACGAACGUGUAAGAAUGUUAAAUACAGAAAUAGAAUUGUUAUUGUUUUCGUUUUUUUUAAAUGAUUUUUGGGAGUGCACGUGCUCAUGUGCACUUACUGAGAAACCGCCACUGCUCGCAAGGUUUUUUAAUUUAAUCGCACUAAACAAAGGAGAAUAAUUUACCACCUUAAAAUGUAGAAAGUAAAGAGUAAAGUAAUUUUUAAUUUGAUACAUUUAAUGGCAUAUUUGUAUUUUGAAUAUGUAUGUCUACACUAAAAAACAUGCUUCAACUUCCAUUAUUACACCGAUGAAACGCAUGCCAUGAGAAUUGCACAUCACCAGCAAAGAUGGUCACUGAAUGUUUUGGAUGGAUUACUGAGAGAACAUCUGAGUCCGUUCCGUACUUAGAGUGGUCUUUAGACAGAAAUCGCUAUAUAAGAUUUCUUCUUGAGGACUUUGUGAAACUCUUUGAAAAUGUGGCUGUAGCCUCUCGAUGACAGUUGUUCGGGAAUAUCUUCAUGGAAAGUCCAGAUUUAAAGAAAAAUCAGCGGCGUAAUGUAGGGUGCAAACAUAUAACAUUUAUAAUAAUGGCAGAAAUUAUAUGGAAAAGUAGAUUAAAGUGUAGACUUCCAUGUAAAAAUAAAACAGUUACAAAAGGUUA